RNAcentral lists this ribosomal RNA (492 nucleotides) under uncultured bacterium. RNAcentral describes it as "partial 16S ribosomal RNA". It matches the Rfam family "Bacterial small subunit ribosomal RNA", at positions 29 to 507 of the family's 1533-position model. The record is from RNAcentral.
AGUGAACGCUGGCGGUAGGCCUAACACAUGCAAGUCGAACGGCAGCACAGUAAGAGCUUGCUCUUACGGGUGGCGAGUGGCGGACGGGUGAGGAAUACAUCGGAAUCUACUUUUUCGUGGGGGAUAACGUAGGGAAACUUACGCUAAUACCGCAUACGACCUACGGGUGAAAGCAGGGGAUCUUCGCACCUUGCGCGAUUGAAUGAGCCGAUGUCGGAUUCGCUAGUUGGCGGGGUAAAGGCCCACCAAGGCGACGAUCCGUAGCUGGUCUGAGAGGAUGAUCAGCCACAAUGGAACUGAGACACGGUCCAGACUCCUACGGGAGGCAGCAGUGGGGAAUAUUGGACAAUGGGCGCAAGCCUGAUCCAGCCAUACCGCGUGGGUGAAGAAGGCCUUCGGGUUGUAAAGCCCUUUUGUUGGGAAAGAAAAGCAGCAGGUUAAUACCCCGCUGUUCUGACGGUACCCAAAGAAUAAGCACCGGCUAACUUCGUG